Molecule: Y RNA, 96 nt
Filed under: Microcebus murinus (gray mouse lemur)
Lineage: Eukaryota; Metazoa; Chordata; Mammalia; Primates; Cheirogaleidae
Description: Y RNA (ENSMICG00000046303.1)
Rfam family: Y RNA
About the family: Y RNAs are components of the Ro ribonucleoprotein particle (Ro RNP), in association with Ro60 and La proteins. The Y RNAs and Ro60 and La proteins are well conserved, but the function of the Ro RNP is not known.
Source: Rfam by way of RNAcentral
GGCUGGUCCGAUGGUAGUAGGUUAUCAGAACUUAUUAACAUUAGUGUCACUAAAGUUGGUAUUCAACCCCCCACUGCUAAAUUUGACUGGCUUAAA